This 1152-nucleotide ribosomal RNA is filed under the name uncultured bacterium. Its description in RNAcentral is "partial 16S ribosomal RNA". It matches the Rfam family "Bacterial small subunit ribosomal RNA", at positions 330 to 1503 of the family's 1533-position model. The record is from RNAcentral.
GARGAUCUCUUACGGRAGGCARRCAUGGGAAUUCGGCAAUGGUCAGCUGAUCCAGCAUGCCGGUAGUKAAGAGCUCGAUKUAAGCUCUCAGUCGAAAAGAAWAGUWUGACUAUAAUCAWAUUCUAUGACGUAUCGACAGAAGAAGCACCGCUACUACGUGCCAGCAGCCGCGGUAAUACGUAGGGUGCGAGGCGUAUCGGAAUUACUGGGCGUAAAGGGUGCGCAGGCGGUUCUGUAGGUCAGAUGUGAAAUCCCCGGGCUUAACCUGGGAACUGCGUUGAAACUACAGAACUAGAGUGUAGCAGAGGGGGGUGGAAUUCCAUGUGUAGCAGUGAAAUGCGUAGAGAUAUGGAAGAACAUCGAUGGCGAAGGCAGCCCCGUGGGUUAACACUGACGCUCAUGCACGAAAGCGUGGGGAGCAAACAGGAUUAGAUACCCUGGUAGUGACGCCCUAAACUAUGUCAACUAGUUGUCGGGUCUUAUUAGACUUGGUAACGUAGCUAACGCGUGAAGUUGACCGCCUGGGGAGUACGGUCGCAAGAUUAAAACUCAAAGGAAUUGACGGGGACCCGCACAAGCGGUGGAUUAUGUGGAUUAAUUCGAUGCAACGCGAAAAACCUUACCUACCCUUGACAUGUCAGAAAGUUUUCAGAGAUGAAAGUGUGCUCGAAAGAGAAUCUGAACACAGGUGCUGCAUGGCUGCCGUCAGCUCGUGUCGUGAGAUGUUGGGUUAAGUCCCGCAACGAGCGCAACCCUUGUCAUUAAKYRCCAUCAUUCAGUUGGGCACUUUAAUGAGACUGCCGGUGAUAAACCGGAGGAAGGUGGGGAUGACGUCAAGUCCUCAUGGCCCUUAUGGGUAGGGCUUCACACGUAAUACAAUGGCGCGUACAGAGGGUUGCCAACUCGUGAGAGGGAGCUAAUCUCAGAAAGCGCGUYGUAGUCCGGAUCGGAGUYYGCAACUCGACUCCGYGAAGUCGGAAUCGSUAGUAAUCGCGGAUCAGCAUGUCGCGGUGAAUACGUUCCCGGGUSUUGUACMCACCGCCCGUCACACCAUGGGAGUGGGUUUCACCAGAAGCAGGUAGUCUAACCGUAAGGAGGGCGCUUGMCRCGSUGAGGUUCAUSAMKGGGGUGAAGUCGUAACAAGGUAACCGU